AUGCUUUUGCAAGAAUCUUUAAUGACUCUCACUUUCAGGAAUUUGGCAAAGUCUCUAGGAAACAAAGAUCCAGUGGAAUUGUUAAAAUGUGGUAUGUGCAAUUAUACAACACAUGGGAAACAACAGUUUGAUAUACAUUGUGCUCGUCAUUUACGUCAGCAUAAGUUUAGUUGUGAUUAUUGUAAAAAAGGUUUUGUAACAAAAAAUGAAGCAAUUGUUCACAUGCGUGUUCAUACAGGUGAAAAGCCUUUCUCAUGCAAAAUAUGCCAGAAGAGUUUUCGUCAUAAACACACUCUAAAUGUACAUCUGAGAACUCAUGCUUGCAAAUAUUGCAACACAACAUUCAGUGAUAGAAAUAGUUUGCGCAAACAUGAGUCAAAUUGUGAAGAAACAUGCAAAUAAAUCAGGUUAUAUAGACUGCUUGGAGUACCCUGUAUUGAGUGUUCCAUCAUUGGCAGCUACUUGCCAAAACAUUCCAAGCUGCAUAUGCAUUUAGUAUAACUAAAGCUGUUUUAAAAGUUGUGGCAGUUAUAUGAUGCUUUAUGGCCUGUCAAAGAAUACUUAAUUGCGGAUGGAUUUGUGAAAUAUUUUGUUAUAAUUUAUAUAUUUUUAAUUUUUUUAGAUUAAUAAGUAUGUUAUAUAUAUGAAAAUAUUAUUACAUAUUUUUUAUACCUAUGAAGAAACGAUUAAUAUCAGUACUGCAAUAAAGAGAGUGCUUUAUGCAAUAAUGUAGUACCUUAUCCUGUGGCACUCUUCAAAUUUUUUGGUGAGAAUUUUGCUGAAAAAAAAUAUGUUCAGCUUCUGUUUAGUUUAUAUGUUUUAUGUUUAAAUAUGUUCAGCUUUUUAUGCGAUUUCUGAUUCUAUAUUCUGCAUUUCAUUUUGAUAAUGGAAUGUCUAAUAAACCUUUUUACCCUUUUAAUUUGAAAAUGUCAUUGGCCAAUCACUGCUUUCCAGUAUUUGAACUGAGUUUUAAAUAUUAAAGUAUUAGCUUGGUUUCUGAAAAUUGUGCUAAAAAUGGCAUCAUAUUUAGUCAUUGGUGUUUCUGUUUAUUUAUUUGUUUAUUGUGUUGAUUGAAAAGUAUGUGCAAGCUUUUAUGUUCAACGUAUCAUUUUAGUAUGAGCAACAUUUUGUAUUUUAGUGUUGUUUUUCAGUGACAUAAAAAAUGAAAUUGUCAUGUAAGUCUAGCUUAUGUUAUUUUGCCUGAAGAUGUGGUAUAAUAAUAUCAAUAAAAAUCUUGUGCUUCAUAAA
Long non-coding RNA from Stegodyphus dumicola, 1248 nucleotides. The record is from RefSeq and is a predicted model, not a curated record. Lineage: Eukaryota; Metazoa; Arthropoda; Arachnida; Araneae; Eresidae.